UUGAGAAAAGACGAUGAAGG
RNAcentral lists this small nuclear RNA (20 nucleotides) under Arabidopsis thaliana (thale cress). RNAcentral's name for it is "snRNA_10712". The record is from RNAcentral. Lineage: Eukaryota; Viridiplantae; Streptophyta; Magnoliopsida; Brassicales; Brassicaceae.